RNAcentral lists this ribosomal RNA (471 nucleotides) under Lodderomyces parapsilosis. RNAcentral describes it as "eukaryotic LSU rRNA". The stretch from base 133 to 286 matches the Rfam family "5.8S ribosomal RNA". The record is from RNAcentral. Lineage: Eukaryota; Fungi; Ascomycota; Pichiomycetes; Serinales; Debaryomycetaceae.
ACUGCAUUUUUUCUUACACAUGUGUUUUUCUUUUUUUGAAAACUUUGCUUUGGUAGGCCUUCUAUAUGGGGCCUGCCAGAGAUUAAACUCAACCAAAUUUUAUUUAAUGUCAACCGAUUAUUUAAUAGUCAAAACUUUCAACAACGGAUCUCUUGGUUCUCGCAUCGAUGAAGAACGCAGCGAAAUGCGAUAAGUAAUAUGAAUUGCAGAUAUUCGUGAAUCAUCGAAUCUUUGAACGCACAUUGCGCCCUUUGGUAUUCCAAAGGGCAUGCCUGUUUGAGCGUCAUUUCUCCCUCAAACCCUCGGGUUUGGUGUUGAGCGAUACGCUGGGUUUGCUUGAAAGAAAGGCGGAGUAUAAACUAAUGGAUAGGUUUUUUCCACUCAUUGGUACAAACUCCAAAACUUCUUCCAAAUUCGACCUCAAAUCAGGUAGGACUACCCGCUGAACUUAAGCAUAUCAAUAAGCGGAGG